AUAUUUUGGCGCUCAUACCAGACAGGGUAUGGGGAUGGCCCUGGAAUUAAGAUUGUUAAAAAGAAUGGUUCACGUGUGGAGGGGACACCCCUAUGGAUCCCCAUGGAUAUUAGUAGGCUGGUGAAAGCGAGAAAUAAUGAUAAUCAGUUAUUGUUAAUGAAUACGAAAUUAUGAUAUGUUUUAUGUUACUGAUUAUACAUGAAAUAGUGAU
RNAcentral lists this long non-coding RNA (211 nucleotides) under Carica papaya (papaya). RNAcentral's name for it is "long non-coding RNA (CPAP_LNC016680)". Lineage: Eukaryota; Viridiplantae; Streptophyta; Magnoliopsida; Brassicales; Caricaceae. The record is from RNAcentral.